UCACGUAGGGGAAAGGGAGGAGA
Molecule: non-coding RNA, 23 nt
Filed under: Cricetulus griseus (Chinese hamster)
Lineage: Eukaryota; Metazoa; Chordata; Mammalia; Rodentia; Cricetidae
Source: RNAcentral